Molecule: long non-coding RNA, 3761 nt
Filed under: Macaca mulatta (Rhesus monkey)
Lineage: Eukaryota; Metazoa; Chordata; Mammalia; Primates; Cercopithecidae
Description: lncRNA (ENSMMUG00000063630.1)
Source: RNAcentral
GUUCCUGUCCUUGCUAGUCUGCAUUUUUGGAGAAAUUACCCAACUCUUUGGAGUAUUUGUUUGCUAUUCUGUAAAAUUACAAUUGAAUAAUAAAAACAUAAAUGGUAUUGUGAAGCUGAUAGAAUGCCAAAAGACUUAGCAUAGUGGGUUCUCAGUAAUUUUUCUUUCCUUCCUUCUUCCUCCCUUCCUUCUUUCCUUCCUACAUACCUGUCACUAUAUCCAAGGCUCUCCUCCUAUCUGCUGGGUGGUAGGACCCAGAAGCUUUAAAGAAAGCACUUUUCUGUCAUUUAAAGCUUGCACUCCUCAACCUCCUCAUUUGGCUCCAUGUCCACGUUUGCAGUUUACCUUUCCUACAUCUAACCGAGGAAGCGAAAACUGGUAACCCUCCUUCUCAGUCUGUUUCUAUGGAGCCCUAGGGUCAUUGUGAGCAGGCCUGGGGAGGAUUUUUUCACUAAUGCUGAACUAAAUGAUGCAUUAAAUUGGGUGAGGGCUGCCUUCAGGUGAAGAUGAAAAGUACCCUGGCUGCCCUAGGAGAGAAUGCUUCCCCCAGGAUGUUUUCAGCUGCACUUUUCCAUUCCACUUUAAAUAGCACAGGUGAUAAGGACUUUAUGUGCAUAACCCUCUGAACCAGCCCAGCAGCCCAGUGUCACCUUCUGCUACACAGAAAGAGAGAAGGGAAGGUUGUGCAAGAAGAGAUGCUUUAGCUUUCCUUUCAAUUUUUUUUCUUCCUCACUCCCCUAUUGGAAGGAAAGAAAAUACAAGCACAAAGAAGGUACCACUUAUUUUACCAAAACUUCAAAAGACACCAAAUCCAGGCCUCUGAACCAACCAAAUAACUCAAUCAACAACAACAAAACCGAGAUGGGCCACAAAGUGGAAAAUGUUAUAACAGCUUAAGUAACAGGUCUAGGUAUUGGGAAGACCACCCAAAAACAACAGGAAGCAUGCUUUUGGAGUGAACAAGAGGAAUUUGCCACGGGCUUCAAGGACACUUGGAAUGGGAUGCCCAGUAUUUCCUGCGGGAGUUUCAAAUGGCAUCAGGUGCAGUGGCUCCAGGCAACCUGGAAGCAUUCAUCAUCAUUUAUGGUCUACUUUUGAUUCUAUGAGGAGACGAUUCACUUAGGCUUCCUCCAGGCCAGGCCCAAAGAGGUGGCAGGCUAUGAGGAGAAGAAAGCCUAAAAGGCAUCCAGGUGGGACAUUGUGAACUAGAGAACCCAUGUGUGAGUUAGAUUGCAAGUAUCUCUGGUCACAUUCACAAGCCAAUAAAAACAAUGCUGUCCUCCACGAGAACAAAUCUAAUUAGAACAAAUCCCAAUCCUUUACAAAUAUUGUAGACUGAAAUGCUUGUUUUAAAGAUAAAGACAUUUGGCCAGGAGUGGUGGCUCAUGCCUGUAAUCCUAGCACUUUGGGAGGCUGAGGCGCGCAGAUUACCUGAGGCCAGGAGUUCGAGACCAGCCUGACCAACAUGAAGGAACCCUGUCUCUACUAAAAGUACAAAAAUUAGCCGGGCAUGGUGGCAUGCACUUGUAACCCCGGCUACUCAAGAGGCUGACGCAGGAGAAUAGCUUGAACCCAGGAGGCAGAGGUUGCAGUGAGCUGAGAUCUCGCCAUUGCACUCCAGCCUGGGCAACAGAAUGAGACUCUGUCUCAAAAAAAAAAAUAAAUAAAAUAAAUAUAAAAAUUAGCCAGGCAUGCUGGUAUGCAUCUGUAGUUCCAGCUACUCCAGAAGUUGAGGCAUGAGAAUCGCUUGAACUGAGGAGGCGGAGAUUGGAGUGAGCCAAGAUUAUGCCAUUGCACUCCAGCCUGGGCUACAGAGCAAGACUCCAUCUCAAAAAUAAAUAAAUAAAAAUAAAGACAUUUGUUCAGCCCUUCGAACUGUCAAAUGAGUAUGUUCUUGGAAAGGUUCCUUGUCAUCAAAUAUAAAUUGCAAUGAUCAAAGGCAAACUACAUAUCAAUAUGUAACGCAAAAGAGUUUACCAGGAGUCUACAUUGGAGGAGAUGAACUCGACGCAGAAAUGGUGCACCUCUGGGUUUGCCAAAGCAGAAAAAUUCUUGACAGCCUUCCCAAAAGUACAACCAAGUUCUUGUGCCCCAGAGUGGGGUGAGAUCUUAGAGAAGAAAGGCAUCUGAGGGAUUAUUUUUGAAGUCUUGUUCACAGGUUUAAGCAGUUACAAUCACAAGUCCUUCUGCUCAACCACGACCAUCUAGGUUUGCCCAUUACUUUAUUUUUUAAUCUGACACAAAAGGAAAGAUGCAGAGGUGAAAAAGGGAGGGGUAGAAAGGUGAAUCAUACUCUCUGUAUCCUGUUCUACCACUUGCCACAUUUCUAAAAUACCACGAUUCCCAGGCACAAGAGGAUGUGUGAAUAUUUUGUUCUGUUUUUUGUUUUUUUUUUUUUUGUUUUUUUUUUACUUAGUACUAAUAAUACACAAGAGCUGAAUAGUUACUGAAACUAUUUCCAGUUUCUUGCAUUUGAUAAUAGAUGGAGACCCGAUUCGAACUGACCUAGACCCUUAGAUAACUAUCCCAAACAGAGCCAUCCCUGAGUAGGUCACAGAGCUUCUCUGUGUCUGUUUCUUUAUUUGCAAAAUCACAUUGUAUCACCUGUCAAAUUCACAGAUUGUUAAGAAUUAAGUAAGUUCAUGACUAUGGAACACCUUUAAAACUAUGAAGCACUAAAACGAAUUCAGUGGACAGUGGCAAUUAUGAAGAGGAUGAUGAUGGAAAUGAGAGAUACUACAAAUGAAAAUUCUGUAUAUUUAUGAAAUUAUGGCUUAGUAUUUGUCAUUUGAGAAUUUCAAUGGUUUUGAACAUGUAGGACUGGGAUCAUAAAAAUUCAUGAGCAUAUUGGUGAGCCUCAAGUAAAAUCUGUUUUAAAUACACAAUGUACACUUUCCAAAAGAAAAUUUGUGAUAUGCAUAUUUAUAUAUUUACUAGCACUAUCAAAAGGUACCAAAGACAUUAACACUAAGUUCUAAGCAUUUUGCAGACUUCUGGAAGCUAUUCUUCCCUGCUUUGCCUACGUAAGUCACCUCCCUUGAAUGAUACUUGGGAAGGCCUGGUCACGAUUAUCUUUAGAUAUUUGAUCUGGCUGAGAUAAUGUCCUGCCCUAUGAAGGUGCUGUGAUUUCCGCCAAAGGGUAAAAUAAACAUUUUUCUCAGUAUUAUUGUCCAAGAGCUUUUACUUUUGACACUCUGGGUCUGCCUCAAGUGGCGGCUAGGUGAUGGAGGACGAAAAAGAGGAGUGCGUAAAACCUGAAGCGAGAACCAGAAGUUUUCCCUAAAAGAAGCUAAGUUUUUUUAAGAUGAAGAUAAAGAUUUAAUUUCGCAAUAUUAAUUUCUACUGCCAGUAUAAAACUUUAUCUUUCUAAGUAUCUGUACAUGUCUCUGUCCAAAGUACCCUCCUGCUACUAAGGCAAAGGAAAAGCAUAUUGAUUUUUCUGCAAACUCCCAUACCUUUCUUUCAAGUUGACUGCUUGGAAAUCUAUUCAAAUUGGAGACUACAUCCUGUUUAGGCAGUUGAAGUUGACAGCAGAGCUUUAAUUAAUAAGGCAUGCAAGGACAAAGACACCAGGCCCAAAUCAGAUGCAGGCGACAUCUUCUUGUGGCUGCUCUAAGAAGCACGGCAAUCAUUUAUACUCUACCUUGGUGCUCAGAUGGAAGAAAUAAGGCUAGAGCAUGAAGAGCAAGGCUAUCUACUAAGAUAUGAGAAUUACAGCAUUCUGGAUGAACAGAGUUAUAUUAUCCCUGCUUUCAGAUAAG